RNAcentral lists this ribosomal RNA (251 nucleotides) under uncultured prokaryote. Its description in RNAcentral is "partial 16S ribosomal RNA". It matches the Rfam family "Bacterial small subunit ribosomal RNA", at positions 525 to 775 of the family's 1533-position model. The record is from RNAcentral.
ACAGAGGAGGCGAGCGUUGCUCGGAAUUACUGGGCUUAAAGCGCGUGUAGGCGGCCAUGUAAGUGUCCCGUGAAAUCCCACGACUCAAUCGCGGAACUGCGGGGCAUACUGCAUGGCUUGAGGUCGGCAGAGGUGCCUGGAACUCUAGGUGGAGCGGUGAAAUGCGUAGAUAUCUAGAGGAAUGCCAGAGGCGAAGGCGGGGCACUGGGCCGAAUCUGACGCUGAGACGCGAAAGCGUGGGGAUCAAACAG